RNAcentral lists this ribosomal RNA (513 nucleotides) under uncultured bacterium. Its description in RNAcentral is "bacterial SSU rRNA". It matches the Rfam family "Bacterial small subunit ribosomal RNA", at positions 15 to 518 of the family's 1533-position model. The record is from RNAcentral.
GAUCAUGGCUCAGGAUGAACGCUAGCGACAGGCUAACACAUGCAAGUCGAGGGGCAUCACGGGAGUAGCAAUACAACUGGUGGCGACCGGCGCACGGGUGAGUAACGCGUAUGCAACCUACCUAUCAGGAGGGGAAUAACCCGGCGAAAGUCGGACUAAUACCGCAUAAAACAGGGGCACCGCAUGGUGAUAUUUGUUAAAGAAAUUCGCUGAUAGAUGGGCAUGCGUUCCAUUAGGUAGUUGGUGAGGUAACGGCUCACCAAGCCGACGAUGGAUAGGGGAACUGAGAGGUUGGUCCCCCACACUGGUACUGAGACACGGACCAGACUCCUACGGGAGGCAGCAGUGAGGAAUAUUGGUCAAUGGGCGGGAGCCUGAACCAGCCAAGUCGCGUGAAGGAAAGAAGGAUCUAUGGUUCGUAAACUUCUUUUGCAGGGGAAUAAAGUGCAGGACGUGUCCUGUUUUGUAUGUACCCUGAGAAUAAGGAUCGGCUAACUCCGUGCCAGCAGCUGC